UUGACCUCAAAUCAGGUAGGACUACCCGCUGAACUUAAGCAUAUCAAUAAGCGGAGGAAAAGAAACUAACAAGGAUUCCCCUAGUAACUGCGAGUGAAGAAGGGGAAAAGCUCAAAUUUAAAAAUCC
Molecule: ribosomal RNA, 127 nt
Filed under: Mucidula mucida var. asiatica
Lineage: Eukaryota; Fungi; Basidiomycota; Agaricomycetes; Agaricales; Physalacriaceae
Description: partial 25S ribosomal RNA
Rfam family: Eukaryotic large subunit ribosomal RNA
Source: RNAcentral